Molecule: long non-coding RNA, 963 nt
Organism: Beta vulgaris subsp. vulgaris (sugar beet)
Lineage: Eukaryota; Viridiplantae; Streptophyta; Magnoliopsida; Caryophyllales; Amaranthaceae
Exons: 3
Source: RefSeq, a predicted model, not a curated record
UUAACAUCACAUGCAAAUGUUGCGACGUUAACAAUCAGAUUAUAACGACUUAAUGAAGGUAAAUGCAAAGGAAUCCAUGGUGUGACCCCGUAUUUUUAUACUUGUUUUGUAAUAGUUAUAUUAUGUAAGUUUAUAAACAAAAUUAUUUUAAAAUAUUUUUUUAUUAAAUAUAUUUUAUUUUCCACUUAUUGACCCUACCUUAGAAGGGUCAAAAGCUAAUCCCUAAAUUUCCUAGGUUAACUACCCAAUUACACAUUAUGUCGCUAUUAUAAAGGAGGGAGAAGGAAAAAAAAGAAAAAAAGUGGAAAAAGGUCAGGUGUUUCCCCGCAGCUUGCUUUCCUUUUUUUCAUUCAUUCUUUCUUCUAUUUUUUUCCUUCCUUCUUUUGUCGUUCUUUUUCUUCUCCAACACACCGUUACAUCUUUAAAUUUGUUAUCAUUUAUUAUUACACAUCAAUCUUUAGUGACCCAUCUUCAACAUCUCCUGGUUUUGUGGGUAUUUCAAAGACGAAAAUUUGGAUUUAUGGGCUUGGGUUUUUGGUCGAAAAUCAGAGCAAAGUAGGAAUUUUCGGGUCUCUUAUUGUGUAAUUUACCUCCUCCAUUCAAGUGAAUUAUGUGAAGUAUAGUCAAGUGACUAUUAUAUCGUAGAUUGCGGGUUCGUAGAAGAGCCUUUUCACUUGAGAUUAAGAUAUAUUGAUUGUGGUUGCUGAUAAGGGACUUGAAGAUAGUUAGCUUUCGGUUGGGUCAAAGAGUGUGUUGGACCUUUUUUGAUUUAACAAGACUUUAAUAAGACUUUCGUUGUUAUUUAUUUGACUAUAGGAUUUAUAUUCUGGUUUGUAAUAAUUAAUUACUCUCUAUCGAGCUAGUCUAUAAUAAUUAUUUAGAACUUAUUGUUUUUUUUUUUUAAUUACAACCAUUAGCCUCGUGGUUAUCAUUAUUAAUUAUCGCGACGUAACACCUUUGAAU